GACAAGGUGUAGCAGGUCGACAACAACAAGUUUGGUCGACUUGUGUGUUUUGUUAACUUUGUCAGCAAAUAUUAAUUUGUGGGCCUUCCUCCCUCCCUCGUGAUGUUACAACAAAACAACUUUGGGAAAUUGAACUGCUCCAUAACAGAUGAAAAUGAUAACUGGAGCAUGGAACGAGAGCUGCCACCAGCACUAUCACCAACACUACCAUCACCAUGGCACUAUCAUCACUGCCACCACCACAGCACCACCACCUAUGGCAAGAUGAGUUAACCUUGCAAAAUUGAGCAGCUUCAUCACAACUGAAAAUGAUAACUGCAGGCUGAGACAAAGAGCUGACAUUGUAGAACACUUUAACACCACCACCACCACAGCACCACCACCACACCAGCACAUAAGACAAGAUGAGUUAACGUCUAAACCUUGACAAAUUAACAACUGGAUCAUGGAGACACUGCUGUUACAGUCCAGGGCAGCAAGCACAGAGCAGAGCCAUCCAGGGCAGCACACACAGAACAUAGCAGAGCCAUCCAGGGCAGCAGCCAGCAUGCACAGAGCAGAGCCAUCCAGGGCAGCAGCAAGCACAGAGCAGAGCCGUCCAGGGCAGCAGCACACAGAGCAGAGCAGUCAUGUCUAGGACAGCAGCCAGCACACACAGAGCAGAGCCGUCCAGGGCAGUAGCAAGCAAGUACAGGGAAGUCUAGGGCAGCAGCAAGUACAGGGCAGUGGCCAGUAAGCACAGCCUAGGGCAGCACAGCACUCCAGUGUUCAGAACAUUUCUGUACAAAAUAAAAUGUAAAAUUAA
This is a long non-coding RNA of Homarus americanus (American lobster), 805 nucleotides long. RefSeq lists it as uncharacterized. The transcript has 5 exons. The record is from RefSeq and is a predicted model, not a curated record. NCBI's taxonomy places the organism in Eukaryota, Metazoa, Arthropoda, Malacostraca, Decapoda, Nephropidae.